This 478-nucleotide ribosomal RNA is filed under the name Tigrigobius limbaughi. RNAcentral's name for it is "partial 12S ribosomal RNA". It matches the Rfam family "Bacterial small subunit ribosomal RNA", at positions 848 to 1528 of the family's 1533-position model. The record is from RNAcentral. Lineage: Eukaryota; Metazoa; Chordata; Actinopteri; Gobiiformes; Gobiidae.
AAUACCCCGCUGCUCGCCCGGAAACUACAAGCCUCAGCUUAAAACCCAAAGGACUUGGCGGUGCUUUAGACCCCCCUAGAGGAGCCUGUUCUAGAAUCGAUAAUCCCCGAUACACCUCACCCUCUCUUGUUCCCUCCGCUUAUAUACCGCCGUCGUCAGCUUACCCUGUGAAGGUCAAACAGUAAGCAAAAUUGGCACACCCUAAAACGUCAGGUCAAGGUGUAGCGCAUGAGAGGGGAAGCAAUGGGCUACAUUUACUGUCCCAGUAAACACGGACUUUGCCCUGAAAAAAGCAUCUGAAGGAGGAUUUAGUAGUAAGAAAGGAUAAGAGCGCCUCUCUGAAAAUGGCCCUGAAGCGCGCACACACCGCCCGUCACUCUCCCCAACGGCCACACACUCAUAAUUAAUACCAACAUGCCAUAAAGGGGAGGCAAGUCGUAACAUGGUAAGCGUACCGGAAGGUGCGCUUGGAAAAACC